CUUCUGCAAGUACAUCUGCAGCAAAAUGAAGACUAGGGAAAAUGUGGGCCCACUCCUGAAUGGGGCAGGGGCCCUGAUGACAAAGGACAGAGAAAAGGCAGAAGUACUGAAUGCCUUCUUUGUCUUGGUC
Non-coding RNA from Tinamus guttatus (white-throated tinamou), 130 nucleotides. NCBI's taxonomy places the organism in Eukaryota, Metazoa, Chordata, Aves, Tinamiformes, Tinamidae. The record is from RefSeq and is a predicted model, not a curated record.